GACGUAGGAUGCGAGCGUUAUUCGGAUUUAUUGGGCGUAAAGCGUGCGUAGGCGGCUGUUUAAGUCUGGUGUUAAAGCUAGGGGCUCAACCCCUGUGGUGCAUCGGAUACUGGGCAGCUUGAGUGCGGUAGGGGAAGGUGGAAUUCCGAGUGUAGCGGUGAAAUGCGUAGAUAUUCGGAAGAGCACCGGUGGCGAAGGCGACCUUCUGGGCCGCAACUGACGCUGAGGCACGAAAGCCUGGGGAGCGAACGGG
Molecule: ribosomal RNA, 253 nt
Filed under: uncultured bacterium
Lineage: Bacteria
Description: partial 16S ribosomal RNA
Rfam family: Bacterial small subunit ribosomal RNA
Source: RNAcentral